UUAAGUUCAGCGGGUAGUCCUACCUGAUUUGAGGUCAAGUUUGUCAAGUCUUUCCUCAAGUUUGGUUCUGAGCAGCGUGAUCUGUUCAUGCAGCAUACCAAAGGCAUAGAUAAUUUAUCACACCUACAGUAGCAGCUCAGAUGCCACUAAUGCGUUUCAGGGGAGCCGACCCAUAGAUAGGCCUGCAAAAGAGCCCCCAC
RNAcentral lists this unclassified non-coding RNA (200 nucleotides) under Inocybe sp. RNAcentral's name for it is "partial internal transcribed spacer 2". Lineage: Eukaryota; Fungi; Basidiomycota; Agaricomycetes; Agaricales; Inocybaceae. The record is from RNAcentral.